UAAACUUCCCUCUUUUAUAAUCUGCUAUAUAAUAGCGUACCUUUUGCAUUAUGGGUCAGCGACUUAAUAAACGUAAGAUAAGCAUGAAGCUUACUGAGAUUUCUAUAAUAUAAA
RNAcentral lists this ribosomal RNA (114 nucleotides) under Yamagishiella unicocca. RNAcentral describes it as "large subunit ribosomal RNA". Lineage: Eukaryota; Viridiplantae; Chlorophyta; Chlorophyceae; Chlamydomonadales; Volvocaceae. The record is from RNAcentral.